RNAcentral lists this ribosomal RNA (465 nucleotides) under Vreelandella stevensii. Its description in RNAcentral is "partial 16S ribosomal RNA". It matches the Rfam family "Bacterial small subunit ribosomal RNA", at positions 338 to 795 of the family's 1533-position model. The record is from RNAcentral. Lineage: Bacteria; Pseudomonadati; Pseudomonadota; Gammaproteobacteria; Oceanospirillales; Halomonadaceae.
CCUACGGGUGGCAGCAGUGGGGAAUAUUGGACAAUGGGCGAAAGCCUGAUCCAGCCAUGCCGCGUGUGUGAAGAAGGCCUUCGGGUUGUAAAGCACUUUCAGUGGGGAAGAAAGCCUUGGGGCUAAUACCCUCGAGGAAGGACAUCACCCACAGAAGAAGCACCGGCUAACUCCGUGCCAGCAGCCGCGGUAAUACGGAGGGUGCGGGCGUUAAUCGGAAUUACUGGGCGUAAAGCGCGCGUAGGCGGUCUGAUAAGCCGGUUGUGAAAGCCCCGGGCUCAACCUGGGAACGGCAUCCGGAACUGUCAGGCUAGAGUGCAGGAGAGGAAGGUAGACUUCCCGGUGUAGCGGUGAAAUGCGUAGAGAUCGGGAGGAAUACCAGUGGCGAAGGCGGCCUUCUGGACUGACACUGACGCUGAGGUGCGAAAGCGUGGGUAGCAAACAGGAUUAGAUACCCCAGUAGUC